UAGGGAAUCUUCCGCAAUGGACGCAAGUCUGACGGAGCAACGCCGCGUGAGUGAAGAAGGAUUUCGGUUCGUAAAACUCUGUUGUUAGAGAAGAACAGCGCAUAGAGUAACUGUUAUGCGUGUGACGGUAUCUAACCAGAAAGCCACGGCUAACUACGUGCCAGCAGCCGCGGUAAUACGUAGGUGGCAAGCGUUGUCCGGAUUUAUUGGGCGUAAAGCGAGCGCAGGCGGUCAAUUAAGUCUGAUGUGAAAGCCCCCGGCUCAACCGGGGAGGGUCAUUGGAAACUGGUUGACUUGAGUGCAGAAGAGGAGGGUGGAAUUCCAUGUGUAGCGGUGAAGUGCGUAGAUAUAUGGAGGAACACCAGUGGCGAAGGCGACUCUCUGGUCUGUAACUGACGCGGAGGCUCGAAAGCGUGGGUAGCAAACAGG
RNAcentral lists this ribosomal RNA (429 nucleotides) under Bacteroidota bacterium. Its description in RNAcentral is "Bacteroidetes bacterium partial 16S ribosomal RNA". It matches the Rfam family "Bacterial small subunit ribosomal RNA", at positions 355 to 776 of the family's 1533-position model. The record is from RNAcentral. Lineage: Bacteria; Pseudomonadati; Bacteroidota.